UAUAAAUUUCCUUCGCUUCCCCGAUUGCGCUAGCUUCCCAUUCCCUCCCAAAUUGAACAAAGCCACGACCUCCAUCUCUCGUCAGCCAAAAACCAAUACAAACUCAUGAUAGUUUAUCAUUGAUACAGAGCUUUUUCCUAAUAAUGCACAUAGAGAUUAAGGCCGAGAUUGCAAUCUUUCAGCAAGAAAUUCAACGAGGAAGAUUCGAUGAUAAGACGCUGCGAAUUCUUGAAUCCAUUUUGGUGUGCAAAGAUGUGAAAUCCUUGAUGGAAAUGCGAUUUAGCUUAAGAGAAUUCAUGAGAUCUAAAUCUCUCUCUGUUAUGCGUGCGAUUACAGAGAAAGCUGUUUCCGAGAAGCUUAGGAUUCUCGAAUUCUUUGUUCGUGCUUUCGCUCUCUUGGGUGAUGCUAAGAGUUGUUUCGCUCUGAAAUAUGAGGCUUUGCUUUUACGGCAAGUUGAGUCUUCAAGUUGCCAAUCUCUACAAGUUUCAUAUAUGGAAUGGCUAAAUUUUGCUGGAAACUUAAUUGAUAAUGGUUGUUAUCCAGUUGCUAGACAGGCAUGUGAAAAUGCUCUGUUAUGCCUUCAAAAGGAUGGUGUUGCCAAUUCCAAAACAAGUGAAUUCCCUGUGGACAAAAGAAUAAAAAGUCUCAGGGAAUAUGCCGUGAAGUUUGCAGCUCCAAGUUCUGAGUUGGAAAAAAUUCUUUCUACAAGUAAUAAGCAUGCGAAGCAUAACAGAUUAUUAGCUGAUACUUUAACUUGUACCAAAAUGAAGCAGACUGUGCUUACUCGUGGCUUAGGGGGUUGAAGUUUGAUUAAAUGUUUCUGUAUUUGGAUUAAGUUGGUGAAAUGAAAUGAAGUUAGCUUGACGUGAUUAAUUAUGGAUGCAAUGGUAUGGAAAACAAUGUUGAAGUUGAUGAUGCAUUCCAAUGAUAACAAGAGUGAGAAUCAUUAGUCACUUCAAAUCUGAUUUAGAAAAAAGGAGGCUGCAGUUAAUUUUAUUUGGUAUCUGAUUGAUAAUUUCAACAAUCUACUCUAUCUUCUCGGUUUUUAGCAUCUCACCUAAUGAAGACAGUCCAGGCACAGGCAACGGAGUACUUGAAAAGGAAAACUGUUGAGAACAGCAACAGGAAUUCUCCAUUUAAUAAAGAAACAAAAUGUACAGGGAGCAUUCUAUUUCGCAAUGGAA
Molecule: RNA transcript, 1184 nt
Organism: Jatropha curcas
Lineage: Eukaryota; Viridiplantae; Streptophyta; Magnoliopsida; Malpighiales; Euphorbiaceae
Gene name: protein DOUBLE-STRAND BREAK FORMATION
Source: RefSeq, a predicted model, not a curated record